Molecule: ribosomal RNA, 433 nt
Filed under: uncultured bacterium
Lineage: Bacteria
Description: partial 16S ribosomal RNA
Rfam family: Bacterial small subunit ribosomal RNA
Source: RNAcentral
AACGAACGCUGGCGGCAUGCUUAACACAUGCAAGUCGAACGAGACCUUCGGGUCUAGUGGCGCACGGGUGCGUAACGAGUGGGAACCUGCCCUUAGGUUCGCAAUAACUCCCCGAAAGGGUAGCUAAUACCGGAUAAUGUCUUCGGACCAAAGAUUUAUCGCCUUUGGAUGGGCCCGCGUUAGUUUAGCUAGUUGGUAGGGUAAAAGCCUACUAAGGCGACGAUCCAUGGCUGGUCUGUGAGGAUGAGUAGCCACGCUGGGACUGAGGCACGGCCCAGACUCCGACGGGAGGCAGGAGAGGGGUAUAUUGGACCAGGGGCUAAGGCCUGAUCCAGCAAUGCGCCGUGAGUGAGGAAUGCGUUAGGGUUGGAAAGCUCUUUGACCCGAGGCGAGAAUGACAGUACCGGGUGAAGAAGCUCCGGCUAACUCCGUG